Molecule: long non-coding RNA, 622 nt
Organism: Prionailurus viverrinus (fishing cat)
Lineage: Eukaryota; Metazoa; Chordata; Mammalia; Carnivora; Felidae
Exons: 3
Source: RefSeq, a predicted model, not a curated record
CUUAUCCUUUGCUACCUGGGGUGUGCAGCCCAAAGCCCUUCUUUUUGUAGCCCUGACAAUGAGCGCCCACCUCUGGGUCAUUCAUACUUCUCUGCCAUAAGAAGCUAAUGACGUUCUGAGGAAGGGCAGCUCACAUUUGUCCGAAAACAAUUCGAGUUGACCAUCCAAUUGCCUCAGAAUUCGGAAGCCUUGACCACUCACUCGUGGCAGCAAUGGACAGAAAGAUUCACAGUAUGGAAGAGUGCAAGAGACAGCACAGCAUGUUCCCUGCAGAAAAUUCAUUCCAAAGACCACGUGAAGGGUGGCAUAUGAGCUCGUGCAUCUGACGCCAACCUAUUGUUGCAAUUGACAAACCAGUGUAGUUCCAACAUGGCUAUUGGUUGAUAUUUUUGUUUAUCCUAAUGAGACAAGUGAAACAAUGAAAACAUACAUUGGAACUUCGUUUGUUUGUUGAUGAUAUGGGUGACUUCUUUGCUGAAUUACAUAAUAGCUUUUGAAUACUGGAAGAAUACUCCCUCACUGUAAUGGCUAUACAGGUGACACACUUUUAAGUUUAAUCUGUGGGAUUAAAAUUUCUUCCAUCAGUUUCUUAUGUCUGGACAAUCAAUAAAAAGCUAAAUUA